This 915-nucleotide ribosomal RNA is filed under the name uncultured archaeon. Its description in RNAcentral is "bacterial SSU rRNA". It matches the Rfam family "Archaeal small subunit ribosomal RNA", at positions 1 to 923 of the family's 1478-position model. The record is from RNAcentral.
UUCCGGUUGAUCCUGCCGGACCCGACUGCUAUCAGAGUGGGACUAAGCCAUGCGAGUUAACGUAGCAAUACGUGGCAUACGGCUCAGUAACACGUGGUCAACAUACCCAGAGGACGUGGAUAACCUCGGGAAACUGAGGAUAAACCGCGAUAGACCACAAUGUCUGGAAUGAUUUAUGGUUCAAAUCUACAUGGCCUCUGGAUUGGACUGCGGCCGAUCAGGCUGUUGGUGAGGUAAUGGCCCACCAAACCUGAAACCGGUACGGGCUCUGAGAGGAGAAGCCCGGAGAUGGGCACUGAGACAAGGGCCCAGGCCCUAUGGGGCGCAGCAGGCGCGAAAUCUUUGCAAUAGGCGAAAGCCUGACAAGGUUACUCUGAGUGAUCUCCGCUAAGGAAAUCUUUUGACACCUCUAAAAAUGGUGUAGAAUAAGGGGUGGGCAAGCCUGGUGUCAGCCGCCGCGGUAAUACCAGCACCCCGAGUGGUCGGGACGAUUAUUGGGCCUAAAGCAUCCGUAGCCGGUUCCUUAAGUCCUCCGUUAAAUCCACCUGCUUAACAGAUGGGCUGCGGAGGAUACUAUAGAGCUAGGAGGCGGGAGAGGCAAGCGGUACUCAGUGGGUAGGGGUAAAAUCCGUUGAUCCAUUGAAGACCACCAGUGGCGAAGGCGGCUUGCCAGAACGCGCUCGACGGUGAGGGAUGAAAGCUGGGGGAGCAAACCGGAUUAGAUACCCGGGUAGUCCCAGCUGUAAACGAUGCAGACUCGGUGAUGAACAGGCCUCGUGCCUGUUCAGUGCCGCAGGGAAGCCGUUAAGUCUGCCGCCUGGGGAGUACGGUCGCAAGACUGAAACUUAAAGGAAUUGGCGGGGGGAGCACCACAAGGGGGUGAAGCCUGCGGUUCAUUGGGAAUCAACGCCGGGA